Molecule: ribosomal RNA, 546 nt
Filed under: Botryosphaeria dothidea
Lineage: Eukaryota; Fungi; Ascomycota; Dothideomycetes; Botryosphaeriales; Botryosphaeriaceae
Description: eukaryotic LSU rRNA
Rfam family: 5.8S ribosomal RNA (bases 205-358)
Source: RNAcentral
UGAAACUGCGGAAGGAUCAUUACCGAGUUGAUUCGGGCUCCGGGCCCGAUCCUCCCACCCUUUGUGUACCUACCUCUGUUUGCUUUGGCGGGCCGCGGUCCUCCGCGGCCGGCCCCCCUCCCCGGGGGGUGGCCAGCGCCCGCCAGAGGACCAUCAAACUCCAGUCAGUAAACGAUGCAGUCUGAAAAACAUUUAAUAAACUAAAACUUUCAACAACGGAUCUCUUGGUUCUGGCAUCGAUGAAGAACGCAGCGAAAUGCGAUAAGUAAUGUGAAUUGCAGAAUUCAGUGAAUCAUCGAAUCUUUGAACGCACAUUGCGCCCUUUGGUAUUCCGAAGGGCAUGCCUGUUCGAGCGUCAUUACAACCCUCAAGCUCUGCUUGGUAUUGGGCACCGUCCUUUGCGGGCGCGCCUCAAAGACCUCGGCGGUGGCGUCUUGCCUCAAGCGUAGUAGAACAUACAUCUCGCUUCGGAGCGCAGGGCGUCGCCCGCCGGACGAACCUUCUGAACUUUUCUACAAGGUUGACCCUCGGAUCAGGUAGGGCAAU